GAUGAAGAACGUAGCGAAAUGCGAUAAGUAAUGAGAAUUGCAGAAUUCAGUGAAUCAUCGAAUCUUUGAACGCACAUUGCGCCCUUUGGCAUUCCGAAGGGCAUGCCCGUUCGAGCGUCAUUACACCCCUCAAGCCUGGCUUGGUAUUGGGCGACGGCAGUCUGCCGCGCCUCGAAGUGAUCGGCUGGACGGUUUGAAUCUCAGCGUUGCGGUUUCAUCAAUUCGCUGGCGAGGACGACCGGACGCGCCGUUAAACCUCAAUCACAGGUUGACCUCGGAUCGGGUAGGGAUACCCGCUGAACUUAAGCAUAUCAAAAGCGGAGGA
RNAcentral lists this unclassified non-coding RNA (325 nucleotides) under soil metagenome. RNAcentral describes it as "partial contains 5.8S ribosomal RNA, internal transcribed spacer 2, and large subunit ribosomal RNA". The stretch from base 1 to 120 matches the Rfam family "5.8S ribosomal RNA", at positions 35 to 154 of the family's 154-position model. The record is from RNAcentral.